AUUGAACGCUGGCGGCAGGCCUAACACAUGCACGUCGAGCGAGCGGCGGACGGGUGAGUAAUGUAUGGGGACUGCCCGAUAGAGGGGGAUAACUACUGGAAACGGUAGCUAAUACCGCAUACUAUCGGAUAACCCAUAUGGGAUUAGCUAGUAGGGGAGGUAAUGGCUCACCUAGUCGACGAUCCCUAGCUGGUCUGAGAGGAUGAUCAGCCACAGUGGGGGUAGAGUACGGACCAGACUCGUACGGGGGCAGCAGUGGGGAAUAUUGCAAAAGGGGUGCAAGCCGGAGGCAGCGAUGCCGCGUGUAUGAAGAAGGCCGUAGGGUUGUAAAGGACUUUCAGUCGGGAUGCGUUACCGACAGAAGAAGCACCGGCUAACGCUGUGACAGCCGCCGCGGUAAUUC
RNAcentral lists this ribosomal RNA (403 nucleotides) under uncultured bacterium. Its description in RNAcentral is "partial 16S ribosomal RNA". It matches the Rfam family "Bacterial small subunit ribosomal RNA", at positions 29 to 526 of the family's 1533-position model. The record is from RNAcentral.